Molecule: ribosomal RNA, 808 nt
Filed under: Leuconostoc mesenteroides
Lineage: Bacteria; Bacillati; Bacillota; Bacilli; Lactobacillales; Lactobacillaceae
Description: partial 16S ribosomal RNA
Rfam family: Bacterial small subunit ribosomal RNA
Source: RNAcentral
GCGCGAGAAGCGCUAUACAUGCAGUCGAACGCACAGCGAAAGGUGCUUGCACCUUUCAAGUGAGUGGCGAACGGGUGAGUAACACGUGGACAACCUGCCUCAAGGCUGGGGAUAACAUUUGGAAACAGAUGCUAAUACCGAAUAAAACUUAGUGUCGCAUGACACAAAGUUAAAAGGCGCUUCGGCGUCACCUAGAGAUGGAUCCGCGGUGCAUUAGUUAGUUGGUGGGGUAAAGGCCUACCAAGACAAUGAUGCAUAGCCGAGUUGAGAGACUGAUCGGCCACAUUGGGACUGAGACACGGCCCAAACUCCUACGGGAGGCUGCAGUAGGGAAUCUUCCACAAUGGGCGAAAGCCUGAUGGAGCAACGCCGCGUGUGUGAUGAAGGCUUUCGGGUCGUAAAGCACUGUUGUAUGGGAAGAACAGCUAGAAUAGGAAAUGAUUUUAGUUUGACGGUACCAUACCAGAAAGGGACGGCUAAAUACGUGCCAGCAGCCGCGGUAAUACGUAUGUCCCGAGCGUUAUCCGGAUUUAUUGGGCGUAAAGCGAGCGCAGACGGUUUAUUAAGUCUGAUGUGAAAGCCCGGAGCUCAGCUCCGGAAUGGCAUUGGAAACUGGUUAACUUGAGUGCAGUAGAGGUAAGUGGAACUCCAGGUGUAGCGGUGGAAUGCGUACAUAUAUGGAAGAACACCAUUGGCGAAGGCGGCUUACUGGACUGCAACUGACGUUGAGGCUCGAAAGUGUGGGUAGCAAACAGGAUAUUCGGGGGGGGGGAUAAAAAAUAGGGGGGGGGGGGGGUGUUUGUUUUUG